GAUGAACGCUGGCGGCGUGCCUAAUACAUGCCAGUCGAGCGAACAGACGAGGAGCUUGCUCCUCUGACGUUAGCGGCGGACGGGUGAGUAACACGUGGAUAACCUACCUAUAAGACUGGGAUAACUUCGGGAAACCGGAGCUAAUACCGGAUAAUAUAUUGAACCGCAUGGUUCAAUAGUGAAAGACGGUUUUGCUGUCACUUAUAGAUGGAUCCGCGCCGCAUUAGCUAGUUGGUAAGGUAACGGCUUACCAAGGCAACGAUGCGUAGCCGACCUGAGAGGGUGAUCGGCCACACCGGAACUGAGACACGGUCCAGACUCCUACGGGAGGCAGCAGUAGGGAAUCUUCCGCAAUGGGCGAAAGCUUGACGGAGCAACGCCGCGUGAGUGAUGAAGGUCUUCGGAUCGUAAAACUCUGUUAUUAGGGAAGAACAAAUGUGUAAGUAACUAUGCACGUCUUGACGGUACCUAAUCAGAAAGCCACGGCUAACUACGUG
This 497-nucleotide ribosomal RNA is filed under the name uncultured bacterium. RNAcentral's name for it is "partial 16S ribosomal RNA". It matches the Rfam family "Bacterial small subunit ribosomal RNA", at positions 28 to 507 of the family's 1533-position model. The record is from RNAcentral.